This is a non-coding RNA of Chrysemys picta bellii (western painted turtle), 561 nucleotides long. The record is from RefSeq and is a predicted model, not a curated record. Lineage: Eukaryota; Metazoa; Chordata; Testudines; Emydidae.
UGACAACUGGUCACAAAGUCAACCAGUUACUGAGGAACAGGGAGGAUAAAAUGCAGGGGUUGCCGCCCCUUGUGCCCUGUGUGUUCAGGCUCUGACAAUCAAGGAGAACCACGUCUUCUGAGGAUAUCGUAACACGGCAUGGAUUGUAAGUUCCUCCGAGAAGCUGUCCCUUCUGAAGAGUUUAGAAAAUGACUGGCACAGAAAAGUAUCUAAAAGGAGGAAUCUCUCACUCCCUAGCUCCUGUUUACCACAUCACUUCUGUCAUUACUCUGAAUUUACAUUGUGAACCCCCCAAGGAUCUUCCCCACCAGCAGGGAACUCAUAAACUGGGAUUGAGAACAAGACUGGGUUAAUCCUCCUGGCAAACUCUGCGGAGCGGGAUGGAGAGGAUUACAGGGGAGAGCUCAUCCCUUCCAAAUACCACCAUGGAGCUGUGCUGCGCGAUGGCCUUCGCAUGAAGUGGCUGGGACAUUCCAGCUGGAGCCACGUGGGAUUUCUUGCUCUAUCUCCUUCUCUGUCUGUGUUCCUCUCCAUCUCUCUGCAUUCUCCCCCCGCCCCCCG